This 497-nucleotide ribosomal RNA is filed under the name uncultured bacterium. RNAcentral's name for it is "partial 16S ribosomal RNA". It matches the Rfam family "Bacterial small subunit ribosomal RNA", at positions 28 to 507 of the family's 1533-position model. The record is from RNAcentral.
GAUGAACGCUGGCGGCGUGCCUAAUACAUGCAAGUCGAGCGAACGGACGAGAAGCUUGCUUCUCCGAUGUUAGCGGCGGACGGGUGAGUAACACGUGGAUAACCUACCUAUAAGACUGGGAUAACUUCGGGAAACCGUAGCUAAUACCGGAUAAUAUUUUGAACCGCAUGGUUCAAAAGUGAAAGACGGUCUUGCUGUCACUUAUAGAUGGAUCCGCGCUGCAUUAGCUAGUUGGUAAGGUAACGGCUUACCAAGGCAACGAUGCAUAGCCGACCUGAGAGGGUGAUCGGCCACACUGGGACUGAGACACGGUCCAGACUCCUACGGGAGGCAGCAGUAGGGAAUCUUCCGCAAUGGGCGAAAGCCUGACGGAGCAACGCCGCGUGAGUGAUGAAGGUCUUCGGAUCGUAAAACUCUGUUAUUAGGGAAGAACAUAUGUGUAAGUAACUGUGCACAUCUUGACGGUACCUAAUCAGAAAGCCACGGCUAACUACGUG